AUUCCUACGGGAGGCAGCAGUGGGGAAUAUUGGACAAUGGGCGCAAGCCUGAUCCAGCCAUUCCGCGUGUAGGAUGACGGCCCUCUGGGUUGUAAACUACUUUUAUUUGGGAAGAAACCCCGGGAUUUAUCCCGGGCUGACGGUACCAAAAGAAUAAGCACCGGCUAAUUCCGUGCCAGCAGCCGCGGUAAUACGGAAGGUGCAAGCGUUAUCCGGAAUCACUGGGUUUAAAGGGUGCGUAGGCGGCCCGGUAAGUCAGAGGUGAAAGCUCAUAGCUCAACUAUGGAAUUGCCUUUGAUACUGCCGAGCUAGAAUUAGGUUGAGGUUGGCGGAAUGUGACAUGUAGCGGUGAAAUGCUUAGAUAUGUCAUAGAACACCAAUUGCGUAGGCAGCCGACUGGACCUAUAUUGACGCUGAGGCACGAAAGCGUGGGGAGCGAACAGGAUUAGAUACCCUGGUAGUCCACGCCCUAAACGACGCUUACUCGAUGUGUGGAAUUAUCUGCGCGUCCAAGGGAAACCGAUAAGUAAGCCACCUGGGGAGUACGUUCGCAAGAAUGAAACUCAAAGGAAU
Molecule: ribosomal RNA, 573 nt
Filed under: uncultured bacterium
Lineage: Bacteria
Description: bacterial SSU rRNA
Rfam family: Bacterial small subunit ribosomal RNA
Source: RNAcentral